CCUACGGGAGGCAGCAGUGAGGAAUAUUGGUCAAUGGGCGCGAGCCUGAACCAGCCAAGUCGCGUGAAGGAUGACGGUCCUACGGAUUGUAAACCUCUUUUGCCGGGGAGCAAGCGUGCGUUCGUGAACGCGCGUCGAGAGUACCCGGAGAAAAAGCAUCGGCUAACUCCGUGCCAGCAGCGGCGGUAAUACGGAGGAUGCGAGCUUUACCCGGUUUCUUUGGGUUAAAGGGGUGCGUAGGCGGGAUGCCAGGUCAGCGGUAAAGAUGCGGGGUCCAACGCCGACGAGCCGUUGAAACUGGCGUUCUUGAGUGGGCGAGAAGUAUGCGGAAUGCGUGGUGUAGCGGUGAAAUGCAUAGAUAUCACGCAGAACUCCGAUUGCGAAGGCAGCAUACCGGCGCCCUACUGACGCUGAGGCACGAAAGCGUGGGUAUCGAACAGGAUUAGAUACCCCGGUAGUC
Molecule: ribosomal RNA, 460 nt
Filed under: uncultured bacterium
Lineage: Bacteria
Description: partial 16S ribosomal RNA
Rfam family: Bacterial small subunit ribosomal RNA
Source: RNAcentral